This is a long non-coding RNA of Sorex araneus (European shrew), 1253 nucleotides long. RefSeq lists it as uncharacterized. NCBI's taxonomy places the organism in Eukaryota, Metazoa, Chordata, Mammalia, Eulipotyphla, Soricidae. The record is from RefSeq and is a predicted model, not a curated record. The transcript is spliced from 3 exons.
GACGCCGAGGUCCUUGCAGAGCCACACCUGGGUUGCCUCCCCGACCCGCAUCUGCAUCUUUUCCUUGAAAGUGAAGUCGACUGCUGGCUGGGGAAGGGGCACAGCCAAUGAUGCUCAGGACUUACUCCUGGUGACCUUGGGGGGGACGAUAUCAGGAAUUAGAGAUCAAACUCAGUUCUGACUUUUGUCACAGGACAUGCCACCUGGAAUACAGAGCACCAACACUCAGAGGACCCUGGGAAACCCACAUUAGGGGGAAGCCGGGCAAGCUAAGCAGAGAAAUCAGUUGUGAAGCUUACCCCUUAAGCAUGUUAGUCCGUAUCUUCUAAAUAAAUCGAGACCUUCUUUUCUUGGUUGAGCUUCUCUUCUUCUUUUCUGUAACAGAGACACAGAAACUGAAGUCAGGUAAAUAAAACCAGAAGACUGGGGUGCAGCGAGGGGUAACGCCUGCAAAGCUUCAGGAGGUUUUCCUCCUUCACUUGGGAAGAAUUCAGUGCAGCUGGGAGCAGAUCCAAACUCACUGGGAGCUGAACCACGGGUCCGCUUUAUGUCUCCAGAAACACUCAUGUCUCCACGUGAGCCUGUGCCUUCUGAACCUCAUUUGAGAACCCCCGUGAUUUAAGGCAGCAUCUCUCUCUUACCACGAACAGCCUCCCUCUAGUCCUAUGCCUUAUUCAAAAGUUCUGUGUUGACCUAGAAGUCAUCUUUAUUGCUUAGAUGCUAUCUGAAGCAGAAUCACAGAGUUGCGUUCAUUAGGCUCUAAAAUCAUCGGGGUUGGAGCCAGAGUGAUAACUUCAGUGGGUAGGAUGUUUACCUGGCUCGCAGCCAAGCUCAGCACCCCAUAUGGUCCCCGGAGCCUGCCAGGAGUGAUACCAAAACCAAAAAAUAAAUAAAAUCAGCGGGGUUCUUCAGCAAACGUUUCUUGAGGAUAAGAAGGCUCUGGCACAGGCACACACUGUCAUGAUGUAGGACUUCGACUGGGGGUCUCAGAUAGGGCUCAGAGCUCAAGCAAUAGAAUUAGGAAUCAAUGUGACUCAUUAAAAUAAAAAAUGUGGAGGUUGGAGAUAUCAUUCAACAGGUAAGAUGCUUGCCUUGCAUGCAGUCGAUCCAAGUUCGAUCCCUGGCACCCCAUCUAUUAUGGUCCCCCAACCCCUGCCAGAAAUGAUCUCUGAGCACCACUGGGUAUGGCCCAAAACACAAAUAAAUAAUACAAAAUAAAUAUAAAGCGGUGCAGUUAUUAUUUUUUUUUAAAU